GGUUAAGAUUGGCCCCCCCUGAGAUUCAGGGGCUCAGAGGUGACUGGGUGCCAGGGCAGUGUUCCCUGGAGAGACAAUCACCACUCGUCUUGUUUGCUUCUGCUGAAAAAUCAUAUAUACACAGCACCGGAAGGUGCCGGCAGUUUUUCUAUUGGUGUCUGCUGCGUGUAGGUGUAGAAGGCCAGGGGGUGGCUGGGCUCCUUCUUCCCCCCCGGAGGGGGGAGAGGGGAGCCCUGCGGCCCCCCCAACUCUGCCUAGGCCAGAGUUAGAGACAGCAUUGGAGUGAGUGUAUGUUUGUGAGGGACACGACUCACAAACAACUGGUAAGCGAGAGAGAGAGAGAGGCAGGCCUUGCAGCCAGGCCCUCUUCUUCUUUCCCCCCCACUUUGCAGCCAGGCUGCAGAAGGGGGCUGUUUUUCCUCUCACUGUUUAGUGGGAGUGGUGCAAGGCUCAGCAUUGAAGCUGAACCAAGAGACGGGGCCGGAGGAAGAGGCUCGGUUGCCAGGAGAAACAGUUGUGAUUCGUUGCAACAGGUGGAAAAACUUCAGGCAGGAAUUGGAGACGGGCCAAAGGGCUCGGGAGUUGCCCUGCCAAGGUAUGACCGGGGGGAGCCGAAAACUGACUUGGAGGAUGCAUACAUUGAUAAGCUACACUACAGCAGCCUAGAGAACUGAGGUAUGAGACCAAGAGGGAGAGAUCACACAGCAGAAAUGACAGAGGACCAAGGAGAAAGGACUCAGAGCUACCUUCCUGGACUUCUGAGGAAGGAAGGACUUCCACAAACAGCUGAAGGUACUGGAAGACCACAAUUAGGCGACCCUGAAGCCUUCUCUUUUCCAGGCUGAACAAUUCCAGUUCUCUCAGCCUUUCCUCACAUGAGAGGUGCUUCAUCCCUCUGAUCAUCUUGGCGGCCUCCUCUGGACUCUCUCCAACAGAUCCAUGUCCUUCCUGUGCUGGGACCCCAGACCUGGAUGCAGCACUGCAGGGAGUGAAGAAGAGAUGCAAAAGAGUAAAGGGCCAAACCAGGAAUAAGGAGGAGUGGCAGAGCAUUAGCAUGGAUAAGGAGGCAGUUCUUGUGAACAGAAAAAAUCUGCCCAAAGCUCAAGGAGGGGGCCCAGUCCUACUGGCGUCUGAUGUGUUCUUUCUUAGAAGAAGAAAGAACAGAAGAAAACAUCCACAGAAAAAUACUGACAUAGAAACUGCCCCCCAGCUUUGGAGCUGAGAGCCUGGGAACUAGGCUUUGGAAUAAGAAACAUCCUUGAAAAGUACAGCUGGCCUCUUCAAAGUACAGCUGUCAAACCUAGAAAGCAGUGAUAUCCUGAGCUACCAAGAAUAAGUGCAGAAUCAGGAAACAUUUUCAGCAAUUUAUAAUGUGGAAAAGUGGAAACAGUCUGGAAAAAAAUAAAACAGGUCUGAAAGAACAGAAAACUUCAUCGUCAUUGACUGUUACAGAUGUAAAACAGAAAUUAACAGCACGUAUUGGCAGUUUGAAGCCGUGGUGCCUUAGGACCUCUUAUCUCCAAGAUAUAAAAUUUUUAUAAAAAAUGGAGCAUGUUUAUCUGAAAACUUCUCAUGCUACAUGUACUCUUCCUAAGAGGAUUGGAUCCCACUCAGACAUUCUAAGAGACAAUGGAAUCCCUAUACCUGACUGGCACCUGACUCCUUGACAAAAUAAUUUUUGAUGUGAGACUCUGCCUGUUACCUUAUUAGUCCCCUAUUUUUUGUAGGCUUGUCUUCCCACCUCUAGGCUGGUUAGAUCCCUCUCUGGGAACAGAUCAUCUUCCCCUUUGUUAUGGUUUAACUUCUUCUGAAAUCUGAAUAAUUGCCUUUAUAUUUUUAUUAUAUACAUCCAUAUAAGCAUCUUAUUGUAAGUAUAUCUGGAGUCACACUGUUGAUAAGUUUGCUUAUCAAUGAUGCACUUGUAGUAACAUGUAAUAGUAUAUACCUAGUUGGUUGUUGCUGUUAUGUUGAUCGUUGCUGUAUCUACUGUUGCUGUACUACUGAUUGGUGCUGUAUUUAAUUGUUGAUAGCAAUUUAUAAUAGCACUAUAUAUAUAUAAUAUGUGUAUUUAUAAUAGCAUUAUAUAUGUGUGUGUGUGUAUACACUUUAUAUUAAUCACAUAUAUACCUGCUAGUGCUGAUUUUUGUGGUAGUUUACAUAGUAGGGGUAUUUUUUGUAGUAUUUAUGGUAAACUGU
Molecule: long non-coding RNA, 2196 nt
Organism: Pseudopipra pipra
Lineage: Eukaryota; Metazoa; Chordata; Aves; Passeriformes; Pipridae
Exons: 4
Source: RefSeq, a predicted model, not a curated record